RNAcentral lists this ribosomal RNA (234 nucleotides) under uncultured bacterium. Its description in RNAcentral is "partial 16S ribosomal RNA". It matches the Rfam family "Bacterial small subunit ribosomal RNA", at positions 96 to 334 of the family's 1533-position model. RNAcentral also lists the same sequence under 1 other name. The record is from RNAcentral.
UGGCGGACGGGUGAGUAAUGUCUGGGAAACUGCCUGAUGGAGGGGGAUAACUACUGGAAACGGUAGCUAAUACCGCAUAACGUCGCAAGACCAAAGAGGGGACCUUCGGGCCUCUUGCCAUCGGAUGUGCCCAGAUGGGAUUAGCUAGUAGGUGGGGUAACGGCUCACCUAGGCGACGAUCCCUAGCUGGUCUGAGAGGAUGACCAGCCACACUGGAACUGAGACACGGUCCAG